CCCUUAGAUGUUCUGGGCCGCACGCGCGCUACACUGACGAAUGCAACGAGCUUAUUACCUUGGCCGAAAGGUCUGGGUAAUCUCCAAAUUUCGUCGUGAUGGGGAUAGAUUAUUGCAAUUAUUAAUCUUCAACGAGGAAUGCCUAGUAAGCGCAAGUCAUCAGCUUGCGUUGAUUACGUCCCUGCCCUUUGUACACACCGCCCGUCGCUCCUACCGAUUGAAUGGUCCGGUGAAGCGUUCGGACCGUGGCCUUUGGACGGUUCGCCGUCUGUUGGCUGCGGGAAGUUCGUUAAACCUUAUCAUUUAGAGGAAGGAGAAGUCGUAACA
This 327-nucleotide ribosomal RNA is filed under the name uncultured eukaryote. Its description in RNAcentral is "partial 18S ribosomal RNA". It matches the Rfam family "Eukaryotic small subunit ribosomal RNA", at positions 1470 to 1796 of the family's 1831-position model. The record is from RNAcentral.